Molecule: ribosomal RNA, 465 nt
Filed under: Vreelandella stevensii
Lineage: Bacteria; Pseudomonadati; Pseudomonadota; Gammaproteobacteria; Oceanospirillales; Halomonadaceae
Description: partial 16S ribosomal RNA
Rfam family: Bacterial small subunit ribosomal RNA
Source: RNAcentral
CCUACGGGAGGCAGCAGUGGGGAAUAUUGGACAAUGGGGGGAACCCUGAUCCAGCCAUGCCGCGUGUGUGAAGAAGGCCCUCGGGUUGUAAAGCACUUUCAGUGAGGAAGAACGCCUGGUGGUUAAUACCCAUCAGGAAAGACAUCACUCACAGAAGAAGCACCGGCUAACUCCGUGCCAGCAGCCGCGGUAAUACGGAGGGUGCGAGCGUUAAUCGGAAUUACUGGGCGUAAAGCGCGCGUAGGUGGCUUGAUAAGUCGGUUGUGAAAGCCCCGGGCUCAACCUGGGAACGGCAUCCGGAACUGUCAAGCUAGAGUGCAGGAGAGGAAGGUAGAAUUCCCGGUGUAGCGGUGAAAUGCGUAGAGAUCGGGAGGAAUACCAGUGGCGAAGGCGGCCUUCUGGACUGACACUGACACUGAGGUGCGAAAGCGUGGGUAGCAAACAGGAUUAGAUACCCCUGUAGUC